Molecule: non-coding RNA, 200 nt
Organism: Vicugna pacos (alpaca)
Lineage: Eukaryota; Metazoa; Chordata; Mammalia; Artiodactyla; Camelidae
Source: RefSeq, a predicted model, not a curated record
AUUUUUUCUUUCAUGGGGGCAGGGUAUAGUUCAAGCAGUAGAACACAUGCUUAGCAUGCAUGAGGUUGUGGGUUCAAUCCCUAGCACCUCCUCUAAAAAUAAAUCAAUAAACCUAAUUACCUCCCCCAAGCAAAAAAACAAUAAAACAAAAAUACACAUAAUGUAAAAUUUCCCAUCUUAGCCAUUUAUGAGUGUAGAGU